Myotis myotis is the source of this 870-nucleotide long non-coding RNA. RefSeq lists it as uncharacterized. NCBI's taxonomy places the organism in Eukaryota, Metazoa, Chordata, Mammalia, Chiroptera, Vespertilionidae. The transcript is spliced from 3 exons. The record is from RefSeq and is a predicted model, not a curated record.
GCGCGCGGAGCCCGGCCGCCGGGACCCAGCCGCCCGCCUCCCGCCGCCGCCUGCCUGGUGUCCCUCGUCCUCGCAGCCGCCCGCCGCCUCGCAGCCUCCUUACCUGGCGCUCCUCGCCCUGCGCCCGCGCCCGCCCUGCCCCGCUCGGCCGCCCCGGCGUCGGCUCAAAGUUUCCUCCGCGCAGGCAGCUUGGCGCAGGGCUGCCCAGGGAGACGGGCUUCUGAAGCUGCGCCUCGGAGUGGCUCUUCUUCCAGCGCCUCUCCGCCUCGUCCGCACCUAAUCCGAACGGGGAGUAGAUGUUCUAUGCGAAGGGGAGGAAAGGGGGGUAAUAUCGAGAACAAGAGAGAGGAGCGGCCACCACUGAGCCCACCCGCUCCUUUCCUGCCCGAUGCCCUGGAAUUGACGGAGGAUGGGCCUGUGGGGUUCAAGAAGAGAAUGACAGAGAAAAAGCCAAGUUGACGCGGAGGGGUUGGAUGCCAGCAAGGGUGUCCCCGUCUCCGUUUCCACGGGCGUGAAGACUUGCAGGCGCCUCCGGCGCGAGAGCUUUAGACCGCCACCCCUUCCCGCUCCCCUCGGAAGGAGACGCCGGCCGAGCCCAGGGAGAGGGAGUCGUGGAAAAGCCGCUGGACCUGCGUGCGUGGCCGCCUCGGCUGUGGAUUUUAAGGACGGGAAAGAGAAGUAACGGCGUCUCAAGGGAAUCCUUUGGAGAUGCUCUCAAGAUGUAGAACCCUUAUAUGUGAAGUAAUCCACAUGAAGUUGCAGCAUCCACAUUGAAGUCACUUCAUGUUACGAGCAAGUUGAAAAAUUCCAACCUUGGCCCUAGGCUAUUUCAUCAAGCACAAUCUUAAGUAAAAGCUUGCUUUUCACUUU